This is a non-coding RNA of Camellia sinensis, 285 nucleotides long. NCBI's taxonomy places the organism in Eukaryota, Viridiplantae, Streptophyta, Magnoliopsida, Ericales, Theaceae. The record is from RefSeq and is a predicted model, not a curated record.
GCACAGCUGAGAGAGAGAGGGGGAGGACAACAGAGAGAAAGAGAGAGAGCUUGCUUCUUUGUGCUGGUGCGUUUUGAAGGAGUUUCAAGAAAGGAAAAUGGAAGAUCAUCAAGAGGCUAUCAAAUUAAAGAUUAAAGGUGGACGUCCGAGGCCUUAUAUCGACUUAACCCACUGUGAACAAACUAAGCAACAAGGAUAGAGAAAGUCUCGGAGUCUACCCGUGUCAGCCUUUUGAAGAGCUUUCGGAAUGGACCAAGUUAGGCUUGAGUAGAGCCAAAAAAAUCA